This 472-nucleotide ribosomal RNA is filed under the name uncultured bacterium. Its description in RNAcentral is "bacterial SSU rRNA". It matches the Rfam family "Bacterial small subunit ribosomal RNA", at positions 29 to 506 of the family's 1533-position model. The record is from RNAcentral.
ACGAACGUUGGCGGCGUGGAUUAGGCAUGCAAGUCGAACGAAGACGGGGUAGCAAUAUCCCGGACUGAGUGGCGAAAGGGGCAGUAAAGCGUGGGUAACCUACCCUGGGGACCGGGAUAGCCUUUCUAACGAGAGGGUAAUACCGGGCGACGUAGCGAGGGGGCAUCUUCUUGCUACCAAAUGAAUUUCGCCCCGGGAGGGGCUCACGUGCUAUUAGCUUGUUGGUGAGGUAACGGCUCACCAAGGCUGAGAUGGCUAGCAGGUGUGAGAGCACGACCUGCGCCACUGGCACUGAGACACUGGCCAGACUCCUACGGGAGGCUGCAGUCGAGGAUCUUUGGCAAUGGGCGCAAGCCUGACCAAGCGACGCCGCGUGCGCGAUGAAGGCCUUCGGGUUGUAAAGCGCUGUCGAGGGGGAGGAAGCUCCGUAAGGGGUUGACCUAUCCCUGGAGGAAGGACGGGCUAAGUUCGU